UGGGGAAUUUUGGACAAUGGGCGCAAGCCUGAUCCAGCAAUGCCGCGUGCAGGAUGAAGGCCUUCGGGUUGUAAACUGCUUUUGUACGGAGCGAAAAGGUCUGCCCUAAUACGGUGGGCUCAUGACGGUACCGUAAGAAUAAGCACCGGCUAACUACGUGCCAGCAGCCGCGGUAAUACGUAGGGUGCGAGCGUUAAUCGGAAUUACUGGGCGUAAAGCGUGCGCAGGCGGUUAUAUAAGACAGGUGUGAGAUCCCCGGGCUCAACCUGGGACCUGCAUUUGUGACUGUAUAGCUAGAGUACGGUAGAGGGGGAUGGAAUUCCGCGUGUAGCAGUGAAAUGCGUAGGUAUGCGGAGGUACACCGAUGGCGAAGGCAAUCCCCUGGACCUGUACUGACGCUCAUGCACGAAAGCGUGGGGAGCAAACA
This 427-nucleotide ribosomal RNA is filed under the name uncultured bacterium. RNAcentral's name for it is "bacterial SSU rRNA". It matches the Rfam family "Bacterial small subunit ribosomal RNA", at positions 355 to 774 of the family's 1533-position model. The record is from RNAcentral.